Molecule: ribosomal RNA, 354 nt
Filed under: Lactobacillus delbrueckii subsp. bulgaricus
Lineage: Bacteria; Bacillati; Bacillota; Bacilli; Lactobacillales; Lactobacillaceae
Description: partial 23S ribosomal RNA
Rfam family: Bacterial large subunit ribosomal RNA
Source: RNAcentral
CCUAUCAGUAUCCUGAGUAGGGCGGGACACGUGAAAUCCCGUUUGAAUCCGCGAGGACCAUCUCGCAAGGCUAAAUACUAACCAGUGACCGAUAGUGAACCAGUACCGUGAGGGAAAGGUGAAAAGAACCCCGGGAGGGGAGUGAAAGAGAACCUGAAACCGUGUGCCUACAAGUAGUCAGAGCCCGUUAACGGGUAAUGGCGUGCCUUUUGUAGAAUGAACCGGCGAGUUGCGUUAGUCAGCAAGGUUAAGUCAGAAAAGACGGAGCCGUAGCGAAAGCGAGUCUGAAGAGGGCGAGCAGUUGGUUGACGCAGACCCGAAACCAAGUGACCUACCCAUGACCAGGUUGAAGGC